UACGGGGGGGCAAGCGUUGUCCGGAUUUAUUGGGCGUAAAGAGCGUGUAGGCGGCCAGGUAGGUCAGCUGUGAAAACUCGAGGCUCAACCUCGAGACGUCGGUUGAAACCACCUGGCUAGAGUCCGGAAGAGGAGAGUGGAAUUCCUGGUGUAGCGGUGAAAUGCGCAGAUAUCAGGAGGAACACCGGUGGCGAAGGCGGGUCUCUGGGCCGAUACUGACGCUGAGGAGCGAAAGCGUGGGGAGCGAACAGG
RNAcentral lists this ribosomal RNA (252 nucleotides) under uncultured bacterium. RNAcentral describes it as "partial 16S ribosomal RNA". It matches the Rfam family "Bacterial small subunit ribosomal RNA", at positions 524 to 776 of the family's 1533-position model. The record is from RNAcentral.